Dasypus novemcinctus (nine-banded armadillo) is the source of this 270-nucleotide unclassified non-coding RNA. The record is from Ensembl. Lineage: Eukaryota; Metazoa; Chordata; Mammalia; Cingulata; Dasypodidae.
UGUGUAGCAAUGAACUCUUGUCAGAGUUUCAAAGGAAUUAAUAUUUUUUUUAGCAAAAUGUGCUAAUGUAAAGAGUCAGAAGAUUAGUGAUGCAUAAUGAAAGUAAUGCAUUCUUUCGCAUGGAAAUAGGAAUAUAAUAAAUGUCCUGCAGGUGAUUGGGGCUGUAGCAAUUUUAUUGAAGAUUAAAGUUUGAUUGACCUUUGUUAGGGUGAUUAACCCUUCUGAAAUUAAAAACCAGAGCUGAAUUGCUCUGUCUAAUUUAAAUGCAAA